Long non-coding RNA from Oncorhynchus masou masou (cherry salmon), 206 nucleotides. RefSeq lists it as uncharacterized. NCBI's taxonomy places the organism in Eukaryota, Metazoa, Chordata, Actinopteri, Salmoniformes, Salmonidae. The transcript is spliced from 3 exons. The record is from RefSeq and is a predicted model, not a curated record.
CCGGCCAAUGCAAUGGUUGCUGCUGAUCGUUUGCUAGAUGACCCUUCUCCUCUAUUUUCUCCUCCAGUUUCUUGCUCUCCUCAGUGGAUCCAUCCUCCUUCUCACCAGUCUUCCAGCUGCCUUGCCUUUUAACACAAAUCAGCCAGUAUGCUAGACCCACAACUACAGUGGCCAGGAGCAGACCAACAAUAACACCCACCACCAAC